CCUACGGGAGGCAGCAGUGGGGAAUAUUGCGCAAUGGGCGAAAGCCUGACGCAGCGACGCCGCGUGAGGGAUGAAGGUCUUCGGAUCGUAAACCUCUGUCAGCAGGGAAGAACGGUCACUGUGCUAAUCAGCAGUGAAUUGACGGUACCUGCAAAGGAAGCACCGGCUAACUCCGUGCCAGCAGCCGCGGUAAUACGGAGGGUGCGAGCGUUAAUCGGAAUUACUGGGCGUAAAGCGCUCGUAGGCGGUAUGUCAAGUCAAGGGUGAAAUCCCCGCGCUCAACGUGGGAACUGCCUUUGAAACUGGCAGACUGGAGUGUGUGAGAGGAUAGUGGAAUGCCAGGUGUAGGAGUGAAAUCCGUAGAUAUCUGGAGGAACAUCAGUGGCGAAGGCGACUAUCUGGCACAUAACUGACGCUGAGGAGCGAAAGCGUGGGUAGCAAACAGGAUUAGAUACCCUAGUAGUC
This 465-nucleotide ribosomal RNA is filed under the name uncultured bacterium. Its description in RNAcentral is "partial 16S ribosomal RNA". It matches the Rfam family "Bacterial small subunit ribosomal RNA", at positions 338 to 795 of the family's 1533-position model. The record is from RNAcentral.